This 396-nucleotide ribosomal RNA is filed under the name uncultured bacterium. RNAcentral describes it as "partial 16S ribosomal RNA". It matches the Rfam family "Bacterial small subunit ribosomal RNA", at positions 523 to 918 of the family's 1533-position model. The record is from RNAcentral.
CUACGUAGGGAGCGAGCGUUGUCCGGAAUUACUGGGUGUAAAGGGAGCGUAGGCGGGAGUGCAAGUCAGAUGUGAAAUACAUGGGCUUAACCCAUGGGCUGCAUUUGAAACUGUGGUUCUUGAGUGAAGUAGAGGUAAGCGGAAUUCCUGGUGUAGCGGUGAAAUGCGUAGAUAUCAGGAGGAACACCGGUGGCGAAGGCGGCUUACUGGGCUUUUACUGACGCUGAGGCUCGAAAGCGUGGGGAGCAAACAGGAUUAGAUACCCUGGUAGUCCGCGCUGUAAACGAUGAUUACUAGGUGUGGGGGGACUGACCCCUUCCGUGCCGCAGUUAACACAAUAAGUAAUCCACCUGGGGAGUACGGCCGCAAGGUUGAGACUCAAAUGAAUUGGCGGGG